This 468-nucleotide ribosomal RNA is filed under the name uncultured bacterium. Its description in RNAcentral is "partial 16S ribosomal RNA". It matches the Rfam family "Bacterial small subunit ribosomal RNA", at positions 28 to 507 of the family's 1533-position model. The record is from RNAcentral.
GACGAACGCUGGCGGCGUGCUUAACACAUGCAAGUCGAACGGAAAGGCCCUGCUUUUGUGGGGUGCUCGAGUGGCGAACGGGUGAGUAACACGUGAGUAACCUGCCCUUGACUUUGGGAUAACUUCAGGAAACUGGGGCUAAUACCGGAUAGGAGCUCCUGCUGCAUGGUGGGGGUUGGAAAGUUUCGGCGGUUGGGGAUGGACUCGCGGCUUAUCAGCUUGUUGGUGGGGUAGUGGCUUACCAAGGCUUUGACGGGUAGCCGGCCUGAGAGGGUGACCGGCCACAUUGGGACUGAGAUACGGCCCAGACUCCGACGGGGGGCAGCAGUGGGGAAUAUUGCACAAUGGGCGGAAGCCGGAUGCAGCAACGCCGCGUGCGGGAUGACGGCCUUCGGGUUGUAAACCGCUUUCGCCUGUGACGAAGCGUGAGUGACGGUAAUGGGUAAAGAAGCACCGGCUAACUACGUG